CACUGCUGACAAAUGAAAGGUAAAGACAGAGAAAUGUUUAACAAUAUUCAAACUUUAUUGGUUUAACAUUGUGAAACUAAAGGCAACACUAGAAAACAAGGCAAAAAAAAAAAAUAAACAGUUUGGAAAAGAAGGGCACAAAAUAAGCACAAAACAUUUCAGGAGGCAUUGUGGCACCUGCAAGUGUCUACAUAUGGGUGUGUGUGUGUGUGUGUGUGUGUGUGUGUGUGUGUGUGUGUGUGUGUGUGUGUGUGUGUGUGUGUGUGUGUGUGGUCUAUGUGUGUGUAGUGUGUGUGUGUUAAUGUGGGGUGAGAGCAAAGCCAAAAACUUGUACCUACAAGACUGACGGCCUGUAACACAACUGGUAGAAGUAUGGCACUACAAUGUGUGCGCAUAGCAAUAAAGCCACAAGGCAAAAGAAUGGAAUCAAAAAGCUCUUUACUCAUCGCUCUUGGAACCGAACACUACAAGGCUGAAAACUGAUAGGAGAGUCCUCCAUGACCAAGCAAAUUUGGAUUUUGAAUUUAAAAUCCUGCAGGAGAAAAAAAACAAGUCAUUCAAUGCAACAGCUGAAAAUUACAACCAAAGUGGAGUUCAAGUUAUAGUGUGACUGUUUGCAUUACGGAGGAAAUGAUGCAGUAAAGAACCCUAGAGGUGUGUGGCUGCGGAUACGUUACCAAUGAGUUAUUUUAUCGCAAUAGGCUAGCGACGAGGUGUCCAAGCUAUGGCCAGGCCAGAUGUAGUUGAAGAUCUGUGCCAAACAAUAGCUGCUCAUAUCAACCUACCAGCAUUUACACAUAACACCCGUAAUUCAAAUGUGUAACUGGUCAAAAUGUAGGUAAUUAAAUGCAGCUGAAAAGCAGCCCUAAGUAUUCCGAGUACAUCUAACAAUUUUUCACUUAUCAAACAAAAGCAGCCUGAUAAUUGCCCAGACAGCCUGUCACCAGCAAUUGCUCUGUGGAUUUGAUCAAAAAGUUAAGGCUGAGCGUGACAAAACAGACAUUUAAGCAGAAUACAACACAGAAAACCACUUCACAGGGGUCUGAAAGUGCUGAGUCCCAUCGAUAUUUAAUAGGUGUGGCAUAUCAUCUUACAAACUACAACUAUAUAUGAAUAUUAACUGAAUAAGGCACUUUUCCUUAAGAGGUGCAGGGACUGAGUAACUUGUUGGAGAAGCUGCAGAGAGGCAACACAAUGGACAUCUAUUGGUAUAAACGGAUACCAGACGUGUUUUGACACACCACGAUGUCAACAUGUGAUGCUGUGUUGUUAAGGAAUGCAGCUUCCAUGUCGAAAGCAGAGAGCACUCUGACUGACUAGAUUCAGUGGGUACACAGCGUACCAGUCAACAGCUGUGAAUUAAACUCAAAUACGUCUCUAAAUUUGGGGUGAAGGGACUCCUCAUGCAGAGAAUGAACAAAUGGGUGCAGCUAAGGCAAAACUCUGUAGCCUACUCGCCAUACUCGGGUCUUUGGGCUGUAGCCUAAUGCCACCAGGUGACUGUAGGUUAAAAGGCGUGUUGAUGGUGAGCAGCAGAAAACAUGUAAUCCUAAAUUACACAAGCCAAAACAAACAGGAAAAAAACAAGCAAACAUCUGCACUCAUGAGUUUCUAACUGUUGGUGGUCAUACAAAACAAAGUGAUUAUUCAUCCAUUAUCUAGUUAAUAUUCAAGAGUGUUUAUACAAGCAUCAGAUUUGUUUCUUCUUUUUUUUUUGGCUGAAACCAUUAAAACAUUUACAAAGACAAAGUUACAAAACAAAGCUUGUCAGUGCAAUGCUCAAUUUCCAUGCCAAAACUGAGGACUUUGGCUUAAUGCACACUGUUUCAAGGCAUUCUUUCAACUAGCAUAUGGGCUAAUCACAACUAAUCAAGUGGUUUUAAGUGUGUCUAAACCCUUAAGAGCAUAUGCAAUGGGAGGAAAAAUCACAACUCCAAGCAUCCAGCAUGCAAUAAUGACAAAAAAAAAAAAAAA
This is a long non-coding RNA of Seriola dumerili (greater amberjack), 1974 nucleotides long. RefSeq lists it as uncharacterized. The record is from RefSeq and is a predicted model, not a curated record. NCBI's taxonomy places the organism in Eukaryota, Metazoa, Chordata, Actinopteri, Carangiformes, Carangidae. The transcript has 2 exons.